This 270-nucleotide long non-coding RNA is filed under the name Felis catus (domestic cat). Its description in RNAcentral is "lncRNA (ENSFCAG00000051368.1)". The record is from RNAcentral. Lineage: Eukaryota; Metazoa; Chordata; Mammalia; Carnivora; Felidae.
GUCGCGGGGUCGCGGGGUCGCGGGGUCGCGGGUCUUGGUGGGCUGAGGGGGCGGGGCCAGUGUGUGCGGUCUGGGCACUUCCUUCCGCUCCGGGCGCGGCGUUUCCGGUCCGUCCCGUCCCGCGCGGGGAGUCUCAGGGCGUCCACGCAGGUGUGCCGGGCCGCUUCUGUUCUGCAAGGAGGCAGCCUGCACGUGAUGGACAAAAUUCCCGUCCAAAGACCAAAGCACCUUUGAGCAUUAUCUGCAGUAUUCCGCCAUUUGCACACAUAC